Molecule: long non-coding RNA, 2043 nt
Organism: Coffea arabica (coffee)
Lineage: Eukaryota; Viridiplantae; Streptophyta; Magnoliopsida; Gentianales; Rubiaceae
Source: RefSeq, a predicted model, not a curated record
AUAAGCUCUAUAUUACAGAUCUACAAAGCUGCCUCGGGUCAAAAAAUCAACUUGGAUAAAUCUACCAUUGUCUUCAGCACCAACACUGAUUCAAGAGUGAGAGAUAGCAUUACUCGUUUUCUCAAUAUCAGAGAAGUUCAUGCAUAUGACAAAUAUCUUUGGUCUUCCCACGAUUAUUGGUUAUUCCAAAAGUGAAGUUUUUGCAUCUAUUCGAGAUAGAAUCUGGCAAAAAAUUAGUGGUUGGAAUGAGCAGCAGCUUUCUAGGGCAGGAAAGGAAAUAAUGUUGAAGUCUGCGGUUCAGGCUAGUCCUACUUAUUCAAUGUCAUGUUUCAAAUUUCUAGAUUCCUUGUUAUCAAAUAUCCAAUCAAUGAUGACAAAAUUUUUGUGGGGUGAUGUAAUAAGGAAAAACCUAUUCAUUGGAUAAGUUGGGACGAACUCUGUAAAAAGGGGGGGGGGGAAGAAGGGGAAUCGGAUUCAAACAACUUCGGGCCUUCAAUUCAGCUUUGCUUGCUAAGCAAGCUUAAAGGAUUGCUACACAGCCAUCCUCCCUUUUACAUCAAAUUUUUAAGGCCUAAUAUUUUCCUAACUCUAAUUUCUUUUUGGUAGGAUUAGGGUCUCGACCCUCAUUUACUUGGAGAGGGAUAUAUGAAGCACGUAAAUAACUGGUUGCGGGAAGCAAAUGGAGGGUUGAUAAUGGAAGAAGUAUCCAGAUUUGGAAAGAUCGCUAGCUACCUGGACCUCGUUCGGAUAGGUUGCCUGAAAAUACUACAGUGGAUUACCUAAUUAAUAGCGAUAGAAAAACUUGGAAUCAAGAUCUAUUACACUAGUUAUUCUAGCCAGAUGAGAUAGAAUUGAUUAAGAGUAUUCCAAUUGGUGAUACUCAUAAUCAAGAUAAACUCGUAUGGCACUUUACAAAAAAUGGAUUUUUCAUUGUUCGAAGUGCUUACCAUCUAAUGAAGCAACAAUCCGGUAAAUGGCAAGACAUAGCUUCUGGGAGCAACAGAAUUGCAAAAAGAAUCUGGAAACGGUUAUGGAACUUAACCUUGCCAGGAAGCAAACAGGAAUCCAAUGACUACUGAGCAUACAACUGCAAUUCAACAAUCUGGUUUGUCCCAAUGGAAGAGACCUCCCACAGGUUAUGUCAAAGCUAACUUUGAUGGGCUGUCUAUGCUGGUGGUGACAUGUCAGGUAUUGGAGUUGUUAUUAGAGAUGCUGAGGAUAAUUUCGUGGCAGGAUUAACCAAACAAAUUUCAGAAAUUUUUGCUCCAAAGGUCAUUGAAUCUUAUGCUGCAAAGGCCACAGUCAAGUUGUUGUUGGAUCUACAUUAACGCAUGAUUAUUCUUGAAAGUGAUUGUCUGAAGUUAUUAAAACGAUUCAAACUACAGAGACGGAUGCAUCAGCUUGUGGAAUACUUGUAGAUGAUAUUCUCAUAGAUAUACAAAGCUUUGCAACCUGGGAAGCAUCAUGGAUGCCUAGAAAGUUGAACAACGCAGCACAUUAUUUUGCUAAAUAUGCUUGUUCUAUUUCUAAUUGUUGUAUAUAGAGGGACUUCCCCCCAGAUUUUAUUGUUACCGCACUUGCUGCGGAUAUUAUCUCAGAUUAAUAAUAUUUUAGCACUUUUCUAUCAAAAAAUAUAAAAAAAAAGUGUAACAGGAUAUCAAUUUUUUAGACAAGAAAUUAAUAACGUGGAACAAAUAGCAUCAAUUUAACAUUGUAAGGCCCAGUCAUAAUAAAAGUGCCAAUUAUUUAAAAAGUGGAGUGCACCAACGUCAUUGUUCCUAUACUACUACGAAAUUCCGAGGUUGUUUGGGAUAUAGUAACUAACUCCAAUUCUUUCAAGUUCCAAAUUUUAGAAUCGUUCUCAUUGAUCAAAAAAAUAUACAUAUAAAGAUUUCACCUACAAAACAAAAGGAAAUGAGUUGAUCCUAGCUCCUGGUUUAUGUGUGUGUAUAUAUAUUUUAAGUUAGGAGGUGGAGAAGGGGGUAUUUUUAUAGUGAGGAUAAACAAAUAAAUAAAUGAUCUAGAGAAAAAAAAUGCAGCCAU